RNAcentral lists this transfer RNA (101 nucleotides) under Leptospira noguchii serovar Panama str. CZ214. RNAcentral describes it as "tRNA-Thr". Lineage: Bacteria; Pseudomonadati; Spirochaetota; Leptospiria; Leptospirales; Leptospiraceae. The record is from RNAcentral. RNAcentral also lists the same sequence under 2 other names.
UUUUUGUUCUGGAAGAGCGGGAGAGCGUUUUGGAGUUCGUAACUCUGGGGCCGAGGCAGUUGUGGGCGGAGCCGGAGAUCACUUCCUCGAAUAUAUGACCA